AUGCACGCUGGCGGUAUGCUUCACCCCUGCAAGUCGAACGGACUCUUCGGAGUUAGUGGCGGACGGGUGAGUAACGCGUGAGAAUCUGGCUUUGGGUUCGGGACAACCACUGGAAACGGUGGCUAAUACCGGAUGUGCCGAGAGGUAAAAGAGAAAUUGCCUGAAGAUGAGCUCGCGUCUGAUUAGCUAGUUGGUGAGGUAAAGGCUCACCAAGGCAGCGAUCAGUAGCUGGUCUGAGAGGAUGACCAGCCACACUGGGACUGAGACACGGCCCAGACUCCUACGGGAGGCAGCAGUGGGGAAUUUUCCGCAAUGGGCGAAAGCCUGACGGAGCAAUACCGCGUGAGGGAAGAAGGCUCUUGGGUUGUAAACCUCUUUUCUUAGGGAAGAACAAAAUGACGGUACCUAAGGAAUCAGCAUCGGCUAACUCCGUG
Molecule: ribosomal RNA, 434 nt
Filed under: uncultured bacterium
Lineage: Bacteria
Description: partial 16S ribosomal RNA
Rfam family: Bacterial small subunit ribosomal RNA
Source: RNAcentral